Acanthaster planci (crown-of-thorns starfish) is the source of this 2318-nucleotide long non-coding RNA. The record is from RefSeq and is a predicted model, not a curated record. Lineage: Eukaryota; Metazoa; Echinodermata; Asteroidea; Valvatida; Acanthasteridae.
UUCUGGCACCCAGGCUCUGCAUAUAAACCCAUGGUGCUCGAAACGGAGUUCCCCGGCAGCAAGUGGUUAAUGAAGAAAACUUGUGACAAGACUAGCAAUAAGUCCAUCAUACCAGCUUUCUGAACGGUUGAGGUAUUUUUUUAAUUAGGGCAUUACAAGAUCUGUGCAUUUUGUUUGCUUUAAAGAACAAAAUGCUUACAUUAAGAGAAAAUAAAAUGGAAAUAUUUGAAGAUACUCACUUUUGUGUUCCUUUGGAGAUUUUGCAUGGACUAUCUGCCAUUUCUUUGUAUAUUUUUUUUUGGAGGAUUUUUUUGCCGGAAGAGGAUGGAUCCAUUGUAUUGGAAGGGAUGAAGCAGUAAGUGGGGCCAGGUUUGAAGGCUUCCAGUAUUAAGUGUUGUGACAUCGUCAUCCACGGAUAAGUUUUGACAAAUUGACAUCACGCUCCCGUGUCUUUGCCGCUCAAUCGAUUGAGGGCAGCAUUACCUCCAAGAGUUUGCAUCACAGAUACGGUACAUCUAAUUGGUAUUGUAUAUUUUUUCUGUCAAUCCAUUCCUACUGACUACAUGCAUGUUCACUUUCUAUGGAUGUUUUUAUUUACUUUUUCCAGUAAAUUCAUAUCUGGGAAGACAUUUUGUAGAAAGGGCAAUAAAUUGUUUGAUCUUCUGAUCCAUUGUUAUCAGACCGGUCUGGUUUCUGUUUCCAAUCAGUGCCGUGGAUUGGAACAUUAGAAGUAUAAGAAACAGCAACCAAUCUAAAGUACUUUUAACCCAUCACACCACAGCUUUUUCAGAAGUAGGCCAUUCAUGUACAUAACAUGGAGACCUCGUUAGGCCUACCUGGUACCUGCACAGUGCAUGUGUGCUUCCAAAUUUCAGUUCCCCAGUUUUUGGGACUUCUUUCACUGAAGAAAUAGAAUGGUAUAAUGCAUUUGCCUUUAACUCUAAUGUUUUAUUUCUGCUCUAUGCAGCUAUUGUUAGUCAUGCCAGUGGGAGAAAGAGAAAGCUAGGGGUGGCUCGACUUCCAGAACUGCAAGGCACAUUGCAGGGUUGGUGCCUAGCAGUUCAGGAAGUAGUGGCUCGACUCCCAGAACUGCAAGACACAUCACAGGGUUGGUGCCUAGCAGUUCAGGAAGUAGUACUUGUAUGCCUAACGUCUGUGACCGUAUUGUCGCCAGGUCCCUAAUUUCGCCACUAGUGGUUUUCACAGUAAGUGGUGAAAUAAGGGACCUAGCAAGUACUACACCCAGGUAUACCAGUACCGUCAUUAACAUUACACUGUCUGAAAUUACAGUUCAAUCACACUGAAUUUCCAGCCAUGAUCUUCAGUUUUCCUCAUUGGCUGUGCUAGUAUGGCCAUGACUUCUAUAGUUCUAGGAAAUGACUUCAGUUUCAAUUCUUGUUUCCAGUAGGAAGUAAGGAUGAUUUGUGAUACCAGCGCUGUACCUGCUACCGUAAAUGGACAACAAAAAGGAAACAAGUUCUGAUGAGACCCUGACUGCUGAGGUAGCACCAAUUGCCAUUACACACAUUACAGUGCUGGCAAAAUGCCAAUUGAGGAAUUAGCCCUCGCCAGAGCUAACCAGAAUGAGGCCGAGGAUGACAACUCUCUGAAAGUCCUGCUCAUGACUACGACCCUCAAGAUGAUUCAACCAGCAAGUCACAUGAAUUAAUGGAUCCCUACCACUCUCUGGCGCGAUGACACUUCACCUCAGAGAUCUUCAAGAUUGAAAUUCAGAGCCCCCAGGCAUUUUGGAUUCGCAGUACAAUGCCAUCAUCAUAUCUUUCCCCCAGCUGCCAAGAAGAUAAGGAGGCUUUGAAAGUUCUUAACAGAUAAAAAUGGAAAAGACAAACACUGAAGGCUAAGACUGAAGAGCUCAUGCACUGUCUUCAUGACCUUUCCAUGCCAAGCCUGUCAAGGAUCUGUACACUGAGAGCAUUGCUCAGGAGAGGAGCCAAGAGGAAUCCGAGGAGAACAGCAAAGAGGCCAAGAAAAGCCAGGACUGGAGAGUUACCCCAACAAAUGUGUGAGUUCACCAUCGGGAAGAGUGUAGAUGGUAAAGAGUACUCAGCUGAUACUGUGACAAGUGUAAAGCAGCCCAAGAUGCAGCUGUAUGCAAUGGAAGUCCAAGAUACCGAAAAGCAGAGACUCCGCCGUCAUUUCCAGGAAGGAGAAGGGAAGCUGUGGAAGAGGGCCCAACUGACAUCAUUGUAGCCGAGGCUCAGGGGAGAAAGACUUUCUCAAGUUCAAGCCACGUACAGUUCUUCCAUGGACGGCCCAUCGCUGAACCGGAAUCCCUUUCCUUCCUUUUCCCCGGACGA